This is a non-coding RNA of Annulohypoxylon maeteangense, 93 nucleotides long. The record is from the annotation of a RefSeq genome assembly. NCBI's taxonomy places the organism in Eukaryota, Fungi, Ascomycota, Sordariomycetes, Xylariales, Hypoxylaceae.
GGGUUCAUGGCCUAAUGGUAAGGCGUUAGAUUUCGGUUCAAUUCUUGAAUAACUGUCCUCUAAAGAUUGCAGGUUCGAUCCCUGCUGAGCUCG